AGCCAUGCGAGUCGAGAGGUGAAAGACCUCGGCAUACUGCUUCAGUAACACGUGGAUAAUCUGCCCUCAGGUGAGGAAUAAUCCCGGGAAACUGGGGCUAAUACCUCAUAGGAGACGGCUGCUGGAAUGCUCUGUCUCUGAAAGGUCUGCCGCCUGAGGAUGAGUCUGCGUCCGAUUAGGUUGUUGUUGGGGUAACGGCCCACCAAGCCUUUGAUCGGUACGGGUUGUGGGAGCAAGAGCCCGGAGAUGGAUUCUGAGACAUGAAUCCAGGCCCUACGGGGCGCAGCAGGCGCGAAAACUUUACAAUGCGAGCAAUCGUGAUAAGGAAACCCUGAGUGCCUGUUAUCGCAGGCUGUUCUGGUGUCUAACACGCACCAGGAGAAAGGGCGGGGCAAGACCGGUGCCAGCCCGCCGCGGUAAUACCGGCUGCUCGAGUGAUAGCCACUUU
Molecule: ribosomal RNA, 448 nt
Filed under: uncultured archaeon
Lineage: Archaea
Description: bacterial SSU rRNA
Rfam family: Archaeal small subunit ribosomal RNA
Source: RNAcentral